UUCCUUGAAUUGCUUGCUUCUUCUCUCUUUGAAAAGUGAAACAAAGGACCAAUCAACCAUGGUUUUUUACCUUUGAUUUCCUUGUAAAGCUCAGCGUAAGUAGACUCCAGGUCAUAGAUAGUGUCAUGAAUCACGGCAUAGCUUCGAGGUUCUGAUUCUUUAAUUCUCUUCAUCAUUUCCCAGUAUGGUCCUUCAGGUUUGGUUUUAAUACCCUCUGGCAAUUGAGAUCUUUUCAUUUCAAUCUGAUCUGGUAAACCUGGAAUCAAGAAACUUUCUGAAUCCGAACUUACCUUCUCAUGAGGCGUAUGCACGUUCAAACAAUGUUCAACACAGUGGUACAUAAGAUUAUGUGGAUAAAAUGUAACUCUAGGUAUCUUCAGUUGCUCAGCUACGUCCACCGUCCAUGUAAGGCACACAUCUGAAAUAAUGCAAUGAGGACGAAGCUCAACAAUAAGAUCUUCGAUUGGUUUCUGAAGCAAAGCAAUUCCCAUAAAUAACAUAGCCAUUUCUGAGGCAGUGACUGCAGUGAAGUUUUCGAUCCCUUCUGGUAAGCCUACUUCAUCAGAUGGGAACUUGAGUUUGUGGAUGAAGAUCUGGUUGCCAGAAUCCUUGAUAGAGGACUCGAAAAGGAGGGCAUUAUAGUGUGUGGUUAUAAUGGUAACUUUGACUCCAUGGCUAGCAAAAAGUCUAGCUAUAUCAACUAAGGGGAUCAUAUGACUUGGUGUAAAGUAUGGAACAAAAACUACAUGGAGUUCACUAUUUUCUUGUGCCAUUAGUGCUUACCUAAGAAUGGGAGAAGUAGAGUGAGAAACAACUGAAAAUGUUACUAACCUUACAUUAGAUUCAGACAUAACAUAGAUAGCCUAAAAAAUCAUGUUUUGUUUUUAUAGAUCAUGAGAAAAACAUUAAAAUGCACGGUAUGUUUCUUUAACAAAUCUUAUUUUGGACUAGUUGUUAUGUUCAAUCAAUACAUUGAAUGGUUCUCCUGUGUUAUCUUUCUGCAGAAAAGUUAUGAAAGGGAGAUGUGGGCCUCAAAAUACUAUUUCCUCUGUUUCAAUUUAUGUGAUGUUGUUUGAUUUGAUACAAAGUUUAAAAAAGUAAAUGUGUAAUAGAUGUUUGUGUGGUCGUAAAUCACCCCAAUUGUUACUAAAUAUAGAAAUGUGUCAUUCUUGUUGGGACUGACUAAAAGGAAAAGUGUGUCUAAAUUGGGACAGAAUGAACAUGUGGUCCUACAAAGUGAGGUAGGGAUCGAACGUUUAAAGUGAGUAGUUGAAAUAAUGUUGCUUUUCAUGAGUAAAUUAAGAAACACAAAUUCAAUCACUCUGUAGUAGGUGUAGCAUGAGUACCAAAAACAAUGUGUACUGCAGAGUGGUAAGCGUUACUGAAUAGAUAACAUUACCUUUACUUGUACACUUAUGCCGUUGUCAUAGUUUAAGCACAAAAAUAUCACAGCUCUUGUUUGAUAUUUGUGCCUUCCGAACUAUAUAAUUAUGCAGCACUGCAUAGUGGCCUGUGGCUAAUUUGGUGUGCACUUCUUUAUGUUUUGACGAUGAAUACAGUCUCUGUGUGUGACAUGCAUACUGUCAUUUUUUCAGCGCGGUUGGUCCAUUAAUUAUUUCAGUUUUUACUCGCGGUGUUCUUUUGUGCUAACAAUCUUUCAGUUGCUGAUUGUAGAAUGCACCUGGACAAAACAUGAUAAACUUCUCAUUUGAUAAGUGAGUUUUCUUCAUGUAUUAUCACAUAUUUUGCUGUCUUAAAAAUGUAAAGAAAUAUAGCAACUAUAUCCCUUAUUAAAUGCAACUCAUUUGUUAAUAGCUAUAUUUGAGAUAAGGGAAAUCAUUGUUUACAGAUUCACCUAGUUUCAUUUUCUUAUUUGGUGGAUCCCUUGUUUGAAACACUCUUUAAGAGUUUUUUGUCUAUAAAAGAUUGCUUGAAACAACAACGACGACAUACCCAGUGUAGUCCCAUAAGUGGAGACUGAGGAAAAGAUUGCUUGAAACAUAACAUGUUAUUUCCUUUUUUUCCUGUUCUUCUGUCAUGUAAUGCACGAGGAGGCGUGGUGCUUAUUGUAGGAAAAAUAAGGAGAGCUCAAUGCAUUAAGUUUUCAGUUACUCUUUCGAGGUGCCAAAAACGUGGCACCUGAGCUCCUCUAUUAAUGCCGUUAGAUGAUUAUAAGAAGAACCUCCUUUCUCCACAGCCCUGUUAAUCAUUGCUUCGACGUCUUUUGCUCUACUUUUGAUCAUUUCACUUUCCCCGGAGGUGUUCAUCAACGUCUUCAAACUCACCUCUAUCUUCUCUUUAUUGACAAUCGUAUCCUUGAUGUCAAAAGUACUGUGCCACACCUCUGCCCCAAUCCUGACUCCACAUCCAAGAACCUCCACCAGCUUCUCAUUGUAGAACUGCUCCGCGAACAAUGGCCAUGUCAGCAUUGGCACCCCGGCUGUGAGAGAUUCCAGGGUGGAGUUCCAGCCACAGUGAGUCAUGAACACUCCGGUUGCUGGAUGGUUCAAGAUCUUCAGCUGUGGCACCCAUCCUCUGACUAUCAAAACUUUGCUGUUUGUAAGCAUCUUUUCCUUGAAGCUAGUAGGCAUCCAGCUUUCUUGGGGUUCAUCUCCCUUCCUUACCACCCAAAGAAACGAUGAAUUCGAGGCCUCAAGAGCCAAGGCGAUUUCAGUAAGCUGAGCAUCAGAGAACCUCCCCAUACUUCCGAAACAAAUGUACACAACAGAGUUUGGUUCUUGAGAAUCAAGCCAACUCAAGCAGCUGUGUCGUUCUUGAUGUUGAGUAUUUCUUGAAUUGUCUGCCUCUUCCCUCUUUGAAAAAUGAAACAAAGGACCAAUAAGCCACGGCUUUUUACCUUUGAUUUCUUGAUAAAGCUUAGCAUAACUCGGCUCUAGAUCAUAGAUAGUGUCGUGAAUCAUAGCGUAGCUCCGAGGUUCUGAUUCUUUAAUUCUCCUCAUCAGCUCCCAAUAUGGUCCUUCAGAUUUAGUUAUAAUAUUCUCUGGCAAUUGAGAUCUUUUCAUUUCUAUCUGAUCUGGUAAACCCGGAAUCAAGAAACUUUCUGAAUCCGAACUUACCUUCUCAUGAGGUGCAUACAAUUUCAAACAAUGUUCAACACAGUGGUACAUAACAUUAGUCGGAUAAAACAUAAGUCUAGGUAUCUUCAGUUGCUCUGCCACAUCCACAGUCCAUGGGAAAAACAUGUCUGAAACAAUGCAAUGAGGACGAAGCUCGAAAAUAAGACUUUCCAUUGGUUUUUGAAGCAGAGGAAUUCCCAUAAACACACUUAUAGCCAUUUCUUGGCUAGUGGCAGCACUGAAGUUUUCGAUCCCUUCUGGUAUGCCUACUUCAGCUGAUGGGAAUUUGAGUUUGUAGACGAAUAUUUUGUGGCCUAAUUCAGUAGCAUGAUCGAUUGAGGACUCGAAAAGGAGGGCGUUGUAGGUGGUGGUGAUGAUACUAACUUUGACACCAUGACUAGCAAAAAGUCUAGCAAUAUCAACUAAAGGGAUCAUAUGACUUGGUGUGAAAUAUGGAAUGAAAACUACAUGGAGUAGUUCACCAUUUUUUUGUGCCAUGACCUUACUUGAAGAAGGGAUGGAAAUUCACUUAACAACUUAAAAUGUUACUAACUUAAUAUUAGAUUCAGACAUAUUACAGAUAGCCUAAAAAAGUCAUGAAAAAGCCAUUAAAAUACUAAGUAUGUUUCUUCAAGGAAUCUUAUCUUGGAUUAUUAUUAUAUUCAAUCAGUACACUGAGUGGUACUCCCUAUGUUAUCUUUCUGCAGAGCAGUUGAAAGCAAGUAAGGGUGUGCAUUGAUCGGUUCGGUUCGGUUUAGUUUUAAUGUAUUAUUGGUUUGGUUUAUUGAUUUUGGUUUUUAAAUAUGUUAAACCAAUAAGAUAUUUUUUAUUGAUUUCAAUUUAUCGAUUUUGGUCCUUAACGGUUCGGUUUUUAGUUUAAUCAAUAAGAAAAUGCUUAUAAAACAAAUAUUAUGACUUCUCCAACGUCAAUUUGACGUGACAAGACAAUAAUGUAACUUUAUAGAACGCUCAUAAGAUAGAAACAAUAAUAACUAACAUGAAAAGAACUAUACAAGUGCAACACAAAGAGAAAUUAAGAGGAAUAGAGUUCUUACUUUAGGUUUUGACAUUUUGUAUAAUGUGAAAUUGUGAACUCAAAGUUAGUCUGAAGUGUGAAUUGAAGGCUAAAGGACAAAGAUAGUAACCAAUACUGAGAUAAAUAGUUAAUAGUGUUGCUUGUCAUGAGCAUUAUUUCAGUUUUUACUUGUGAUUCAUAAGACAAAAGCAAUAAAAUCACUCAACUUAGCACAUUCCCUUAUAAAAUUGUUCAACUACGUAGAUUAUAAAAAGCCUGACAUGACAAAAUAUAUUAUUUUUCAUGUCAGGGAAACAUGGACUCCAUUAGAGCUAGGCCUGAAUGCUAAAAUUAGAAAUAUCGGAUCGAACCGAAUUAAUUCGAUUCUUUGGUUCUUCGGUUGGGAAUGAUUUUUUUUUUCAAAAGCUCGGUUAAUCGGUUUAAGAGUUCCAGUUCUUCAAUGUGUCAAUUUUAUUCCCAGCUCUAUAGUUAUACAGGUUCACAUAGCUUCAUUUUCUUAUUUGGUAGAUCCCUUAUUUGAAAGUUGAAACACUCUUUAAGAGUUUUUUGUCUAUAAAAAGAUUGCUUGAAACAACAACAUACUCAGUGUAGUUCCACAAGUGAUGUCCGGGGAAAAGAUUGCUUGAAACAUAACAUGUUAUUUCGUUUUACCUUUUCUUGUGUUAUGUAAUGCACGCGAGGCAUGAUGCUAUUUUAGGAAAAAUAAGUAGAGCUCAGAAUGUUAAAUUUCUUACUACUCUUCUGAUAUGCCAAAAGCAUGACACUUGAUCUCCUGUAUUAAUGUUGUUAGAUGAUUAUAAGAAGAACCUCCUUUCUCCACAGCCCUGUUAAUCAUUGCUUCGACGUCUUUUGCUCUACUUUUGAUCAUUUCACUUUCCCCGGAGGUGUUCAUCAACGUCUUCAAACUCGCCUCUAUCUUCUCUUUAUUGACAAUCGUAUCCUUGAUGUCAAAAGUACUGUGCCACACCUCUGCCCCGACCCUGACUCCACAUCCAAGAACCUCCACCAGCUUCUCAUUGUAGAACUGCUCCGCGAACAAUGGCCAUGUCAGCAUUGGCACUCCGGCUGUAAGAGAUUCCAGGGUGGAAUUCCAGCCACAAUGAGUCAUGAACACCCCGGUUGCUGGAUGGUUCAAGAUCUUCAGCUGUGGCACCCAUCCUCUGACUAUCAAACCUUUCUUGUUUGUAAGCAUUUUUUCCUUGAAGCUAGAAGGCAUCCAGUUUUCUUGCCCGUUUACUUGGGGUUCGUCUCCCUUCCUUACCACCCAAAGAAACGAUGAAUUCGAUGCCUCAAGAGCCAAGGCAAUUUCAGUAAGCUGAGCAUCAGAGAACCUCCCCAUACUUCCGAAACAAAUGUACACAACAGAGUUUGGUUCUUGAGAAUCAAGCCAACUCAAGCAGCUGUGUCGUUCUUGAUGUUGAGUAUUUCUUGAAUUGUCUGCCUCUUCCCUCUUUGAAAAAUGAAACAAAGGACCAAUAAGCCACGGCUUUUUACCUUUGAUUUCUUGAUAAAGCUUAGCAUAACUCGGCUCUAGAUCAUAGAUAGUGUCGUGAAUCAUAGCGUAGCUCCGAGGUUCUGAUUCUUUAAUUCUCCUCAUCAGCUCCCAAUAUGGUCCUUCAGAUUUAGUUAUAAUAUUCUCUGGCAAUUGAGAUCUUUUCAUUUCUAUCUGAUCUGGUAAACCCGGAAUCAAGAAACUUUCUGAAUCCGAACUUACCUUCUCAUGAGGUGCAUACAAUUUCAAACAAUGUUCAACACAGUGGUACAUAACAUUAGUCGGAUAAAACAUAAGUCUAGGUAUCUUCAGUUGCUCUGCCACAUCCACAGUCCAUGGGAAAAACAUGUCUGAAACAAUGCAAUGAGGACGAAGCUCGAAAAUAAGACUUUCCAUUGGUUUUUGAAGCAGAGGAAUUCCCAUAAACACACUUAUAGCCAUUUCUUGGCUAGUGGCAUACACCUAUAGCCAUUUCUUUGCUAGUGACUGCACUGAAGUUUUCGAUCCCUUCUGGUAUGCCUACUUCAGCUGAUGGGAAUUUGAGUUUGUGGACGAAUAUUUCGUGGCCUAAUUCAGUAGCAUGAUCGAUUGAGGACUCGAAAAGGAGGGCGUUGUAGGGGGUGGUGAUGAUGCUAACUUUCACGCCAUGGCUAGCAAAAAGUCUAGCUAUAUCAACUAAAGGGAUCAUAUGACUUGGUGUGAAGUAUGGAAUGAAAACUACAUGAAGUAUUUCACCAUUUUUUUGUGCCAUGACUGAACUUGAAGAAGGGAUGGGAACUCACUAAACAAUGGUAAGAAGUAGGGUGAGAAACAACGAAAAAUGUUACUAACCUAAUAUUAGAUUCAAACAUAUCACAGAUAGCCUAAAAAAGUCAUGGAAAAACAUUAAAAUACAAUGUAUGUUUCUUCAAGGAAUCUUAUUUUGGAUUAGUUUUUCUAUUCAAUCAAUACAUUGAGUGGUUCUCCAUGUGUUAUCUUUUUGCAGAGCAGUUGAAAGGGAGAUGUGGGCCGCAAACUACUUAGUACUACUCCCUCCGUUUUAAUUUAUGUGAUGUUUGGCUUGGCACGACGUUUAAGUAAGAAAGAAAGACUUUUGAAACGAUUGUCCCAUUAGGAUGAAAUGAACAUUUUAAAGUAAACUACUAGUUAUUAAAUAUACAAAAUGUGUCGUUCUUUUUUAGAUCGACUAAAAAGUAAAAUGUGACAGGUAAUAUGUGGUCCUACAAAGUACAAAAAUCAAUGUGUACCCCAAUAAGUAUCAUAGACAGCUCCCAAUGUUACUGUUGAGAAACUUCCCCAAAAACCGAAAACUUUCAUUAAAGGUGUGUUCCGUAGGAAAAUGUUUUUCAUGGAAAAUAUUUUCUAAUAAAACUAUUUCUAGAAAAACAAGUGGUUUCUUACUUAUUUUCCUCUGUUUGAUAUGCAAGGAAAAAAUAUUAUUCUAAAAGCAUUUCUAUAUAUAUGACAAAAUUAUGAGAAUAGAAUGACAGAGGGGAGGGUAGGGGGUGUGGGGGUGCAGGUGGAGUGGGAACGAGGGGCGGGGUUUGGGGUUGGUGGUGGAAACCAGUCUUGUCAGCUGAUUGAUAAUUUGUUUAUAGAAGGCAUUAAUGGCCAUAACAUGUUAUUUCGUUUUCCCUUUUCUUUUGUCUUGUAAUACAUGCGAAUUCAUCAUACAUAUUUUUACAUGUUGAUUUCUUGGAUAGUCACUCAAGUAAUAGUAUUAUCAAGUCAUUUUCUUUGUUGAGGAAAAUUAAAAUCAAGAAGAAAGAUGCCUUUUUGAGAUAAUAACUAGUAUUAGCUGAGUGUCCGUAUGAGAAAUCAACCCCAUAUUUUAGGGAAAAUGAGCGAAGCUCGGGACAUUAGAUUUCUUAUUACUCUUCUGAUAUGCCAAAAGCAUGAGACUUCAUCUCCUGUAUUAAUGCAGUUAGAUGAUUAUAAGAUGAACCUCCUUCCUCCACAGCCCUCUUAAUCAUUGCUUCGACGUCUUUUCCUCUACUUCUGAUCUUUCCACUUUCCCUAGAGGCGUUCAUCAACAUUUUCACACUCGCCUCUAUCUUCUCCUUCUUCACAAUCGUAUCCGUGAUGUCAAAUGAAAUAUGCCACACCUCUGCCCCGACCCUGACUCCACAUCCAAGUACCUCCACCAGUUUCUCAUUGUAGAACUGCUCCGCAAACAAUGGCCAUGUCAGCAUUGGCACUCCGGAUGUAAGAGACUCCAAAGUGGAAUUCCAGCCACAGUGAGUCAUGAACGCUCCGGUUGCUGGAUGGUUCAAGAUCUUCAGCUGUGGCACCCAUCCUCUAACUAUCAAACCUUUCUUGUUUGCAAACAUAUUUUCCUCAAACCCAAUUGGGAGCCAACUUUCAUAUGUGUUAUCUCCCUUUCUUACCACCCAAAGAAAGGUCGAAUUCGAGGCCUCAAGAGCUAAGGCAAUUUCAGUAAGCUGAGGAUCCGAAAACCUUCCCAUACUUCCAAAACAAAUGUACACAACAGAGUUUGAUUCUUGAGAAUCAAGCCAACUCAAGCAGCUAUGUCGCUCUUGAUCUGGACUACUUCUCGAAUUGUUUCUCUUUGAAAAAUGAAACGAAGGUCCAAUAAGCCACGGCUUUUUACCUUUGAUUUUUCGAUAAAGCUCAGCAUAACUCGGUUCUAGAUCAUAGAUAGUGUCAUGAAUCAUACCAUAGCUCCGCGGUUCUGAUUCUUUAAUUCUCUUCAACAACUCCCAAUAUGGUCCUUCAGGGUUGUUUUUCACAUCUUCGGGUAGUUGAGAUCUUUUCAUUUCAAUCUCAUCUGGUAAUCCCGGAACCUUAAAACAUUCUGAAUCCGAACUUACCUUCUCAUGAGGUGUAUACAACUUCAAACAAUGUUCAACACAAUGGUACAUAACAUUAGUCGGAUAAAACGUAAGUCUAGGAAUCUUCAGUUGCUCUGCUACAUCCACAGUCCAUGGGAAAAACAUGUCUGAUACAAUGCAAUGAGGACGUAGCUCGAAAAUAAGACUUUCCAUUGGUUUUUGAAGCAAAGCAAUUCCCAUAAAUACACC
This 8646-nucleotide long non-coding RNA is filed under the name Solanum tuberosum (potato). RNAcentral describes it as "long non-coding RNA (STUB_LNC011872)". The record is from RNAcentral. Lineage: Eukaryota; Viridiplantae; Streptophyta; Magnoliopsida; Solanales; Solanaceae.